CAUUAUCAUAUAAUUCUAUACAACUAAUACUAUAUUGAGAUAAUAUCUCAUUACAAACUCCAUAAAUCAAAAUACAUAAAUAAAGUAAAAUCUAUCCAACAUGAAAAGUCUAAUCGGAAUACAAGAAUAAUUCUAAUGUAACCACUUAUCUAAUAAAUUUACUCUUGAAUAACUUCCACGUUCAUGUACCUGUGAAAAAAAAGUUAUAAUUUUAGUCGUACUUUUGUAUACAUGAUUUAGAAAAAUAAAAUUAAACGUUAGUCAUAAAUUAUGUAUUAAUUAGUGAAGCAAACAAUAGAAUAAGAAAUAAGUACUGGUGAAUAAAAUACUUACUCGAUUUAACACAACAAAUAUUCUCAAUUCCUCUCUGGCUGCAAAUAACCACAAGAAUUAAGAGUAGGAAAUGUCAAUUUUUGAGUACUUAACCUCUCAAACAUUAAAGAAACAUAAAUAAAAUAUCUUUAAAUAUUCUUCAUAAAAUUUAAAAAGAAACCACUACUACAUAAACCGAGUGAGAUCCGGUAUGAGAUCUGUACCGAAGCAAAAGAGGUACGAAAAAUGGCAUUGGGUCUUAAAACGAAACAUCAUUACAGUUUUAAUCUCUUGAAGUUGUUAAGUUAAAAAAAAGGCUUCGAAGAAAAUCAAACACUUUGAAUUGUAUGUUUAAGAGCGAGAGAGAGGGAAAAAAAGAAGAGAAAUGAUAUAUCAUGAUAACAAUAGGCAGAUCUUACUGGGGUAAGAGUUAGAUGGAGAUGAAGAUCAUACAAAGAGAAACGAGGAGACGUGGAGGAGAUGAAGGGGAUGGAGG
RNAcentral lists this long non-coding RNA (808 nucleotides) under Nicotiana tabacum (common tobacco). RNAcentral describes it as "long non-coding RNA (NTAB_LNC016038)". The record is from RNAcentral. Lineage: Eukaryota; Viridiplantae; Streptophyta; Magnoliopsida; Solanales; Solanaceae.